RNAcentral lists this transfer RNA (67 nucleotides) under Marmota monax (woodchuck). RNAcentral's name for it is "tRNA.Ala". The record is from RNAcentral. Lineage: Eukaryota; Metazoa; Chordata; Mammalia; Rodentia; Sciuridae.
GGAUUGUGGCUCAGCGGUAGAGCACUCGCCUAGCGUGGGUGGGACCUGGGUUUGAUUCUCAGCACCA